RNAcentral lists this ribosomal RNA (1447 nucleotides) under uncultured organism. Its description in RNAcentral is "16S ribosomal RNA". It matches the Rfam family "Bacterial small subunit ribosomal RNA". The record is from RNAcentral.
GAACGCUAGCUACAGGCUUAACACAUGCAAGUCGAGGGGCAUCAGGAAGAAAGCUUGCUUUCUUUGCUGGCGACCGGCGCACGGGUGAGUAACACGUAUCCAACCUGCCCUUUACUCGGGGAUAGCCUUUCGAAAGAAAGAUUAAUACCCGAUGGCAUAAUGAUUCCGCAUGGUUUCAUUAUUAAAGGAUUCCGGUAAAGGAUGGGGAUGCGUUCCAUUAGGUUGUUGGUGGGGUAACGGCCCACCAAGCCUUCGAUGGAUAGGGGUUCUGAGAGGAAGGUCCCCCACAUUGGAACUGAGACACGGUCCAAACUCCUACGGGAGGCAGCAGUGAGGAAUAUUGGUCAAUGGGCGCUAGCCUGAACCAGCCAAGUAGCGUGAAGGAUGAAGGCUCUAUGGGUCGUAAACUUCUUUUAUAUAAGAAUAAAGUGCAGUAUGUAUACUGUUUUGUAUGUAUUAUAUGAAUAAGGAUCGGCUAACUCCGUGCCAGCAGCCGCGGUAAUACGGAGGAUCCGAGCGUUAUCCGGAUUUAUUGGGUUUAAAGGGAGCGUAGGUGGACUGGUAAGUCAGUUGUGAAAGUUUGCGGCUCAACCGUAAAAUUGCAGUUGAUACUGUCAGUCUUGAGUACAGUAGAGGUGGGCGGAAUUCGUGGUGUAGCGGUGAAAUGCUUAGAUAUCACGAAGAACUCCGAUUGCGAAGGCAGCUCACUGGACUGCAACUGACACUGAUGCUCGAAAGUGUGGGUAUCAAACAGGAUUAGAUACCCUGGUAGUCCACACAGUAAACGAUGAAUACUCGCUGUUUGCGAUAUACAGUAAGCGGCCAAGCGAAAGCAUUAAGUAUUCCACCUGGGGAGUACGCCGGCAACGGUGAAACUCAAAGGAAUUGACGGGGGCCCGCACAAGCGGAGGAACAUGUGGUUUAAUUCGAUGAUACGCGAGGAACCUUACCCGGGCUUAAAUUGCAGUGGAAUGAUGUGGAAACAUGUCAGUGAGCAAUCACCGCUGUGAAGGUGCUGCAUGGUUGUCGUCAGCUCGUGCCGUGAGGUGUCGGCUUAAGUGCCAUAACGAGCGCAACCCUUAUCUUUAGUUACUAACAGGUUAUGCUGAGGACUCUAGAGAGACUGCCGUCGUAAGAUGUGAGGAAGGUGGGGAUGACGUCAAAUCAGCACGGCCCUUACGUCCGGGGCUACACACGUGUUACAAUGGGGGGUACAGAAGGCAGCUAGCGGGUGACCGUAUGCUAAUCCCAAAAGCCUCUCUCAGUUCGGAUCGAAGUCUGCAACCCGACUUCGUGAAGCUGGAUUCGCUAGUAAUCGCGCAUCAGCCACGGCGCGGUGAAUACGUUCCCGGGCCUUGUACACACCGCCCGUCAAGCCAUGGGAGCCGGGGGUACCUGAAGUACGUAACCGCAAGGAUCGUCCUAGGGUAAAACUGGUGACUGGGGC